CGCUCGGCGCGGCGCUCCAGCUGCUCUCAAACCAACUGCUCAAUUCUAUUCACUGCCGCGACGGAACAAAAAAGUGGCUAUUUAUUAGAAUACUUGUUUGGUAUUGUUCGGUGCCACACAAAAGGCGUUUCAUUAUGUUGGGGUGGGGAGAAAAGCCCCUCUCCUCUUUUUUUUUUUCUUUUUUUUUCUUUUCUCUCCAGAGCGAAACAAUAACUUGAAAUUGUCUUUAGAGUCUUUUCUAUCAAUAAUAAAUUUCAUUUUCUUCUCUCUCUCUCUCUCUCUCUGCCUCUCUCCCGUGCAGGGUGUGUGUGUGUGUGCGUGUGUGUAUGUGAGGGGGGGGAAGAGAGAGAGAGAGAGAGAGAGAGAGAGGGAGAGAGAGGGAGAGAGCGCGGAUGGUGAGUGUGCGUGUGUCGCCGGGCACUCGUGGCUCGGGCACAGCCGCCUGGGAGCUGCGGCUGGGCGAGGGGCGAGGAGGAGUGCUCGCUGGCCCCGCCGCCCUCGGCCGGGUCGCGCUGCCCUGCGCCUUCCCGGGCACGGUCGGAGGAAGGUGUGAGCUAGGCUAGAGGAGAGGGGAAAAAAAAAAAAAAAAAGAAAGAAAACAACACAAAAAAAAAUAAUAAUAAUAAGGCUGCCCCUUGAGCUGUUAUGUUGGGAGGAGGCUGGAGCUGGAAGAGCAACUGUGACAUUUGUCAUCACCAUGUGGUGAGCAGAGGAAACUCCCCUCUCUUCCACCCUCAUGUCAGGAGCCUACGCUCAAGGAGCAAAGGUCUGUGCCACCAGUAUCUUAAAACAUUGGGGGUCACCUUUCUUUCCCUCCUUGUCGUCUCUCAUUUUGCAAGUAUUGGUGAAGCCAAAGCUGCUUCUUGAACAACAGCGUUACUACAGUGAGCCUGCAAAGAUGGACAAUGCCACAGCAAGCCUUAGGUGCUAUCUAGCUCGGAGAUGGAGUGGUCAUACGUUUUAGUAGUCACCCCUGAGUCUGGACUAUGUUUAGCAUUCACACAGGAAGAAAGUUUCAUCAGACUAGUAGAAAUGAACUAAGAAACUCUGCAUUACAUUCUUUGCAGGACCAAGAAUAAUUCGGUGUUUAUUUCCUACUCCUUUAACUGACUCUUUUCCUUUUGCUAUAGUAAUGUACUCUGUAAUAAUGUCACAUAAAUUACAAAGGAAGCAAAGGAUGGAAUUAUUUAAAAGUAAAUAAUUAUCCACUACAAUUUGGUUAGCUUCCUAAAUUUGUUUGCCCCUUUCAAAAUGCAGUGUGUUGGUAAGAAGGAAAAGAUGAGAGUAACAAACAAAAGCAAAGAGAGGGUGAAGUGAAUGGGGCAAAUAAAUUACUGCAUAGGUGCCGUUUCAACUUCUGUCUGGAAAUGUCCUUCCUCAUGGCAAAGAGAGUUUUCCAAGGACAAGUACUAGAUUAAAAGAAAACCAUUUUCCUACUACAUUGCCCUCUGGGUCAAAUGAAUAACAGCGGGUACUCAGACUGUUGCCUGUUUCAUGCAAAUGUUUAAAUAGAGUUGAUGUGCCCUGUAUGCACCCUUCACCACCAGGCAUUUGUUAGUCGAUGUCCCCAAGACUCUUUCCCCUAUCAGUUCACCACCUUAAAACUCUACCUGCUAGACAAACAGAUCUCCCAAAAUCUGUGGCCUAGGAAGUCUUGUGAGUGCUUCAGGUACCCUCUGGGCCCCACACUUGCAGACUUGAAUACAGGAAGCCAGAGGAAAAGCAAAGUUGUGUAGCCGGUGCCUGUGCUGAAGACAGCAGCAACACACAUGGCUUGGGGACAAAUGCCUUGUUGCUGUAAGUGGGUGUGUCUCCAUCUGGAUCUCUGCUACGGUACUUCCAGAAAGACAUUAUGAAGGAGGAGGAUGUAGCGGCUUUCGAAGAGGAGCAGCUGCUCCUCCAUAUGUCUCAUGUAGAGGUGUUGCCAUGGGGCUCUGUGGAGCUGGGGAUCCACUCUGUGGACACUGCAGCUCCCACUUGUUGUUGGGAUGGACCAUGUUCACCAGGGCUCAGAACAUGGCGGGAGGAUGGGGGCCCACAAGGCCAUUGCACCGCCCUUUACCCGGGCAAGUCCCCCUCCUCCAGUAGCCCUAUUUCCAGCCCAUAAUACCAGCUGAAACUCAUCCCUUCUCAACAGCCUGCCAGCCUCACACUGCAGGGGUGAGAGUCCAGAGCUGGGUUAACCACCCCCUGCUCGGGCCUGCUGUCCCUCCACAGCCCCAAACAAGUGUCCCUCACCCCAGGUUAAUGGGCUGGGCUCUGACGUGAGGGAAAUGAUCACAAAUCUGCCCCUUGGGCAAGUUGCUGCAAUAACCAGGGACAACCUCCUUUCUCACUGGCCCUACAUCCCCUUGCCAACAUGAGCUAACUGGAAGCAAGAGCAGCUCCUCCCUUGAGGAGCUGAACUUUGCUUUUCUUUCACAGCUGGAACAUCUGCCCCUUCCCUCUACCAGCCCCAGCCCUGGUACAUUCAGCUGCAGUUAUCUCUGCUCAUGCACUGACUGUAUUUUUCAUGUUUAUUAUCAUCCAACACAGUGUAGUGCCAUCUGGCACAUGCACACACAGGGGGAAGAAAACCAUAUAUUCAGCAAAUGGAGCAUACAGGGUUUAGGUUUUGUUUUGUCUUGUUUUUCUUAUUCUUCCAGUUUUAUUUAAAAUUAUGCGGAAGGGAUAGCUGAGCAAUUCAGCUUCAUGAAAAAUGAUCAGAAAACCCCAGUUAGGAAAUUAAAAAUUAGAGGAAAGCGGUGACUCCAGGAAGGGACAAGAACAUUCCUUCUGCUGAAAUACGGUUUCUUCUUUUCCUCCUUCCAUAUUUCAUUUCACCUCAUGCUCUGAUAAGGAAUAAAAUUACUUUAAAAUGUUUGUGUUAACUCUUUUUACCCAGGUUUUGUUCUGGUCUUCCAAAUCACUAUUUUACUGUAAGAUGUGUUUUAAGCAAGUGACACGUAACAAAACACACUCCUCCAAAACACUAGAGCACUGUGAGCCACAGUGCAGCCCUUGAGAUCUUUGCUAUUUUCACUGCUAUGGUAAAAAUGAAUGCAAAAAUACAUCUGCAGAGUGGAAGUAAAAACCAUACAUAGCAGUUUCAGUGAAAGCUAGUACCUAAUGCAUUGCUACCUUAAUUCAAAGAUAGUUUUGUAACAGAGUUGUAUAAUCAAAGCAUUUUUCUUCCCUGAUAAUUCAUGCACUGUAAGAUUAUCAGUGGAGUUGCCCAUGAAAAAAGUACUACACAAUGUAUUGUAUUACUUGAUUCAUUUUCUUUCAUUUUUUACUCUAAUUUUGCCUAAUUACUCUAUUGUGAUCUAAGUCAGCAAUCUUAAAUUAACUAUCAGCUCAACUUUUGAAGAAAUCCUACAAAUGCGAGAUGAUGAAAUUUAAAUAACUGUUGGUUAUUGGAAAAUGUCUACGCCACGGAAAAGAAAACCUUCAGAUAUUUUUGUUCCAUUUGCAUAUAUAGCAUUGUAUUUUUCCUGUUUCAGUUUUCAGAGUAGAAUUAUCUGACUUUUCCAAACUAUAAAAAUACUGUCAAAAAACCUGUUUGGGGUAGUGGUGGUGGUUUUGUUGUUGUUGUGGUUAAGAACGAUAGCUGUAAUGAAAAUGUGAAAGAAAAUAGUUCUUGGGACUAAAUUGUUAGUUAUUCAGACUUCUUCAGAAAAACAACUUGUUGUUUUACAGAUACAGAACGGUAAAACUGUUCUCUGAUCCUGCUAAAAUAAAUAUGUUCCAGUGCAAGUGGCACAAUAUCUGUAUAUUGAGCUAGAUUCUGGCCUCAAAUCUGUUUAAAAUUCAAUAUAUCCUUUGCUCAAGCCCUCAUCCAAGGCAAAGCGACAUCACUGUAAUGACUUCAAGUGGGCUUUGGAUCGAGGCCUUUUACACCACUAUGCCUCACGCCACUACUCUGAGAAAGGCUUUUUUUACUAUGUCUUUCUUUUCCUGUGAAAUUAGAUUAAUUUGGAAUGAAUUAGAAAUGCUUGAGCAGAGAUGCUCAGGGUUACUUUUAAUGAAAAUACUUUUCAUUUGAAAUAUUUCUUACAAAUACAAUUUGCUAGCAAAAUAAAAAUCUGCACUUUUUGGUAUAUUUCUGCUCAUGGUUGAUUUUUGGGUGAAUUGCACUUUACUUUUACAUGCAUGUGUUCAUUGCCUUGUUUCUGGAUUGCAACCUUUAUGUAAAUAACAAGCGAAAAGAAAAUCUAUUGUAAAAUACAAUGUAUGACAAAUUCAUUGAAACAAGCAAAAUAAUUUAAAUAAUGGUAAUUCAAUAAAUGUCAGGAAAGCAAUCCCA
Columba livia (rock pigeon) is the source of this 4285-nucleotide long non-coding RNA. RefSeq lists it as uncharacterized. The transcript is spliced from 2 exons. The record is from RefSeq and is a predicted model, not a curated record. NCBI's taxonomy places the organism in Eukaryota, Metazoa, Chordata, Aves, Columbiformes, Columbidae.